GAUGAACGCUGGCGGCGUGCCUAAUACAUGCAAGUCGAGCGCGAAGAUCAGGAGCUUGCUCCUGAGAUUUGAGCGGCGGACGGGUGAGUAACACGUAGGCUACCUACCCUUGAGAUUGGGAUAACUACCGGAAACGGUAGCUAAUACCGGAUACGACUUUUCCACACAAGUGGAACUGUUAAAAGGCGGAUUUAUCUGCCGCUCAUGGAUGGGCCUGCGGUGCAUUAGCUAGUUGGUGAGAUAGUAGCUCACCAAGGCGACGAUGCAUAGCCGGCCUGAGAGGGUGUUCGGCCACACUGGGACUGAGACACGGCCCAGAAUCCUACGGGAGGCAGCAGUAGGGAAUCUUCCGCAAUGGACGAAAGUCUGACGGAGCAACGCCGCGUGAGUGAUGAAGGGUUUCGGCUCGUAAAACUCUGUUGUUAAGGAAGAACACUUGAGGUAGUAACUGGCCUUGAGAUGACGGUACUUAACCAGAAAGCCACGGCUAACUACGUGCCAGCAGCCGCGGUAA
This 514-nucleotide ribosomal RNA is filed under the name uncultured bacterium. Its description in RNAcentral is "partial 16S ribosomal RNA". It matches the Rfam family "Bacterial small subunit ribosomal RNA", at positions 28 to 523 of the family's 1533-position model. The record is from RNAcentral.